UACGAAGGGGGCUAGCGUUGCUCGGAAUCACUGGGCGUAAAGCGCACGUAGGCGGAUUGCUAAGUCAGGGGUGAAAUCCUGGAGCUCAACUCCAGAACUGCCUUUGAUACUGGCGACCUUGAGUCCGGGAGAGGUGAGUGGAACUGCGAGUGUAGAGGUGAAAUUCGUAGAUAUCGGGAGGAACACCAGUGGCGAAGGCGGCGAUCUGGGAAGAUACUGACGCUGAGACGCGAAAGCGUGGGGAGCGAACAGG
This 253-nucleotide ribosomal RNA is filed under the name uncultured bacterium. RNAcentral describes it as "partial 16S ribosomal RNA". It matches the Rfam family "Bacterial small subunit ribosomal RNA", at positions 524 to 776 of the family's 1533-position model. The record is from RNAcentral.